GCUUUAUUAUUUCUUAAAAAAAAAAACCAUAUGAAAUAACAAUGAUUUUGGUAAGCAACGAUCACAUAAUUUGUGUGCUAACUUUUCUCCCUUUAUGUCAUAUAUAAUGAUGGUGCAAAAUAGAUAAGUAACAUACACUUUCUUUUUUUCUGUAUUCUUAACAAAGUAUUAUAAAACCACGAAUAAAUUGACAACAAAAAAUUUAGAUGUUACAAAAUACAAUAUGUACAUCAACUUAUUAAAAAAAAGUUUUAAAU
Molecule: long non-coding RNA, 257 nt
Filed under: Mytilus galloprovincialis (Mediterranean mussel)
Lineage: Eukaryota; Metazoa; Mollusca; Bivalvia; Mytilida; Mytilidae
Source: RNAcentral